GAUGAACGCUGGCGGCGUGCCUAAUACAUGCAAGUCGAGCGAACGGACGAGAAGCUUGCUUCUCUGAUGUUAGCGGCGGACGGGUGAGUAACACGUGGAUAACCUACCUAUAAGACUGGGAUAACUUCGGGAAACCGGAGCUAAUACCGGAUAAUAUUUUGAACCGCAUGGUUCAAAAGUGAAAGACGGUCUUGCUGUCACUUCUAGAUGGAUCCGCGCUGCAUUAGCUAGUUGGUAAGGUAACGGCCUACCAAGGCAACGAUGCAUAGCCGACCGGCGAGGGGGAUCGGCCACAUGGGAACGGAGGCAGGGACCAGACUCCUACGGGAGGCAGCAGUAGGGAAUCUUCCGCAAUGGGCGAAAGCCUGACGGAGCAACGCCGCGUGAGUGAUGAAGGUCUUCGGAGCGUAAAACUCUGUUAUUAGGGAAGAACAUAUGUGUAAGUAACUGUGCACAUCCUGACGGUACCUAAUCAGAAAGCCACGGCUAACUACGUG
Molecule: ribosomal RNA, 497 nt
Filed under: uncultured bacterium
Lineage: Bacteria
Description: partial 16S ribosomal RNA
Rfam family: Bacterial small subunit ribosomal RNA
Source: RNAcentral